UACGAAGGGGGCUAGCGUUGCUCGGAAUUACUGGGCGUAAAGCGCGUGUAGGCGGGUCGUUAAGUGUCCGAGUGAAAUCCCACGGCUCAACCGUGGAACUGCCGGGCAUACUGGCGAUCUUGAGGCAUUCAGGGGCGAGCGGAACAAAUGGUGGAGCGGUGAAAUGCGUAGAUAUCAUUUGGAACGCCAAUGGUGAAAACAGCUCGCUGGGAAUGAUCUGACGCUGAGACACGAAAGCCAGGGGAGCAAACGGG
This 254-nucleotide ribosomal RNA is filed under the name uncultured bacterium. Its description in RNAcentral is "partial 16S ribosomal RNA". It matches the Rfam family "Bacterial small subunit ribosomal RNA", at positions 524 to 776 of the family's 1533-position model. The record is from RNAcentral.